Molecule: long non-coding RNA, 401 nt
Organism: Cyprinus carpio (common carp)
Lineage: Eukaryota; Metazoa; Chordata; Actinopteri; Cypriniformes; Cyprinidae
Exons: 2
Source: RefSeq, a predicted model, not a curated record
UAAUGCCUUGCGACCAUUCGUACGUCAUUAUUGUGCGUCUUUACACGAGAAACAUCGGUUUUGUCCACAAACUAGUGUGAGCAGAUGUUAAGUUAAAUAAUAAGCUUUAAUAACAAAUUUGCACAUGGUGGUUUAUCACACAGCGCCAAAAGGAAAAGAAAAUGGGUUCCGGAGAACAAAGUUUUUGAUGGUGGAUUAAAAGAGGGAAUUCUUAAAAGACAAAGCUCAGCAAGAGGAGGCUCUGAAGAAAUACAAGGAGAAGAAAACAGCAACAUAUCAGUUGUUGAAAAGAAAAACCAAAAAGGGUCAGCCCUUAACCUGCAUAUGGAGCUGUUGCUGCAAAAGAUUGAAGCUCAGCGCAAAUAAUUCAGUAUCAUCCAUAAAAUCAGACUGGAAUCACA